RNAcentral lists this ribosomal RNA (253 nucleotides) under uncultured bacterium. RNAcentral describes it as "partial 16S ribosomal RNA". It matches the Rfam family "Bacterial small subunit ribosomal RNA", at positions 524 to 776 of the family's 1533-position model. The record is from RNAcentral.
UACGAAGGGGGCUAGCGUUGCUCGGAAUCACUGGGCGUAAAGCGCACGUAGGCGGAUUUCUAAGUCAGGGGUGAAAUCCUGGAGCUCAACUCCAGAACUGCCUUUGAUACUGGGAAUCUCGAGUCCGGGAGAGGUGAGUGGAACUGCGAGUGUAGAGGUGAAAUUCGUAGAUAUUCGCAAGGACACCAGUGGCGAAGGCGGCUCACUGGCCCGGUACUGACGCUGAGGUGCGAAAGCGUGGGGAGCAAACAGG